GCGUCACUGGAGUAGUGGUUAACUCGUUGCCCUCCCACAGUAGAGAGGCAGAAAGUGCGUCUUGCGCCCCGAAAUGUUGAAUGAUUCACUGCUGACCAAAAUUAAUAGCACUGGUUCGAACCCGGUGUGACGCA
Molecule: non-coding RNA, 134 nt
Organism: Verticillium alfalfae VaMs.102
Lineage: Eukaryota; Fungi; Ascomycota; Sordariomycetes; Glomerellales; Plectosphaerellaceae
Source: the annotation of a RefSeq genome assembly